UUACAACUUUCAACAACGGAUCUCUUGGUUCUGGCAUCGAUGAAGAACGCAGCGAAAUGCGAUAAGUAGUGUGAAUUGCAGAAUUCAGUGAAUCAUCGAAUCUUUGAACGCACAUUGCGCCCUUUGGUAUUCCAAAGGGCAUGCCUGUUCGAGCGUCAUUU
This 161-nucleotide ribosomal RNA is filed under the name Drechslera andersenii. RNAcentral's name for it is "5.8S ribosomal RNA". It matches the Rfam family "5.8S ribosomal RNA". From Rfam's summary of the family: 5.8S ribosomal RNA (5.8S rRNA) is a component of the large subunit of the eukaryotic ribosome. It is transcribed by RNA polymerase I as part of the 45S precursor that also contains 18S and 28S rRNA. Lineage: Eukaryota; Fungi; Ascomycota; Dothideomycetes; Pleosporales; Pleosporaceae. The record is from RNAcentral. RNAcentral also lists the same sequence under 3 other names.